This 158-nucleotide ribosomal RNA is filed under the name Calogaya schistidii. RNAcentral describes it as "5.8S ribosomal RNA". It matches the Rfam family "5.8S ribosomal RNA". Rfam says of the family: 5.8S ribosomal RNA (5.8S rRNA) is a component of the large subunit of the eukaryotic ribosome. It is transcribed by RNA polymerase I as part of the 45S precursor that also contains 18S and 28S rRNA. Functionally, it is thought that 5.8S rRNA may be involved in ribosome translocation. The record is from RNAcentral. Lineage: Eukaryota; Fungi; Ascomycota; Lecanoromycetes; Teloschistales; Teloschistaceae.
AAACUUUCAACAACGGAUCUCUUGGUUCUGGCAUCGAUGAAGAACGCAGCGAAAUGCGAUAAGUAAUGUGAAUUGCAGAAUUCAGUGAAUCAUCGAAUCUUUGAACGCACAUUGCGCCCUCUGGUAUUCCGGGGGGCAUGCCUGUUCGAGCGUCAUUG